RNAcentral lists this unclassified non-coding RNA (496 nucleotides) under Stylophora pistillata. RNAcentral describes it as "uncharacterized LOC111330937, transcript variant X2". Lineage: Eukaryota; Metazoa; Cnidaria; Anthozoa; Scleractinia; Pocilloporidae. The record is from RNAcentral.
CGAAAACGAGAGAUUUAAGCAAGUCUGGCAAACAAAGAUAACCAAACGCUACAAGAACAAUCUGUAAUGAUAACAUGUGCUCUCAGUUUAUCGAUGAAGCCCUGCAAACAUCAGUUCGAUGUAUACGAGGAACCUCCCUGGCAGAUAGUUCAGGCAACGGGGAAGAAUCUAGUUCAUCAGGGGCCGCUGACAAACCUCAUCAUACAGCCCUUGACAAAAAUAUUCACAAAGUGGGUUGUUGCUUUUGGACUCACGGACCUCCUCCUGGCAAGAAGACAACUAUUCCUAGAGGCCUUGGAGCACGCUUUUUUCUCCGGGGUAGAAAGAUCAUUAAUCGAGAGCACCGCUGACAUGAUGUUCUUAAAUUUCAAAAACUCGAUGAAAACUAACCACUCGUCAACAGUGCAAAUAGGAAAGACAAAAAUAUGAUGUCGCGGACAGUCUUGAGAAUGAGAAAUUAUUGUAAUACAGAGGGUAAAUAAACAUAAAGCCUGGA